Long non-coding RNA from Zingiber officinale, 234 nucleotides. RefSeq lists it as uncharacterized. The transcript is spliced from 3 exons. The record is from RefSeq and is a predicted model, not a curated record. Lineage: Eukaryota; Viridiplantae; Streptophyta; Magnoliopsida; Zingiberales; Zingiberaceae.
AGGCUCCUCGACAACAAGAUGUCAAACAAUGUGGUUACUAUGUGAUGCGAUUUAUGAGACAAAUUGUUGAAGAAGUUGAAAUUAUCGAAAGAGAUUCACUACGAUCUAUAUUCACACAAGCAGAGUAUUCUCGAGAAGAAAUUGAUGAGGUGCGAUCGGAGUUGGCAGAAUGUAUACAAGAUCAUAUUUAUGAGUAGGUGGAUACAGGACAGUCGAGAUCAGUACACUAAGGAG